GACGAACGCUGGCGGCGUGCUUAACACAUGCAAGUCGAACGGAAAGGCCCUGCUUUUGUGGGGUGCUCGAGUGGCGAACGGGUGAGUAACACGUGAGUAACCUGCCCUUGACUUUGGGAUAACUUCAGGAAACUGGGGCUAAUACCGGAUAGGAGCUCCUGCUGCAUGGUGGGGGUUGGAAAGUUUCGGCGGUUGGGGAUGGACUCGCGGCUUAUCAGCUUGUUGGUGGGGUAGUGGCUUACCAAGGCUUUGACGGGUAGCCGGCCUGAGAGGGUGACCGGCCACAUUGGGACUGAGAUACGGCCCAGACUCCUACGGGAGGCAGCUGUGGGGAAUAUUGCACAAUGGGCGGAAGCCUGAUGCAGCAACGCCGCGUGCGGGAUGACGGCCUUCGGGUUGUAAACCGCUUUCGCCUGUGACGAAGCGUGAGUGACGGCAAUGGGUAAAGAAGCACCGGCUAACUACGUG
RNAcentral lists this ribosomal RNA (468 nucleotides) under uncultured bacterium. Its description in RNAcentral is "partial 16S ribosomal RNA". It matches the Rfam family "Bacterial small subunit ribosomal RNA", at positions 28 to 507 of the family's 1533-position model. The record is from RNAcentral.